This 484-nucleotide ribosomal RNA is filed under the name uncultured bacterium. Its description in RNAcentral is "partial 16S ribosomal RNA". It matches the Rfam family "Bacterial small subunit ribosomal RNA", at positions 29 to 507 of the family's 1533-position model. The record is from RNAcentral.
AUUGAACGCUGGCGGCAGGCCUAACACAUGCAAGUCGAGCGGAUGAAGGGAGCUUGCUCCUGGAUUCAGCGGCGGACGGGUGUGUAAUGCCUAGGAAUCUGCCUGGUAGUUGGGGAUAACGUCCGGAAACGGGCGCUAAUACCGCAUACGACCUGAGGGAGAAAGUGGGGGUUCUUCGGACCUCACGCUUUCAGAUGAGCCUAGGUCGGAUUAGCUAGUUGGUGGGGUAACGGCCUACCAAGGCGACGAUCCGUAACUGGUCUGAGAGGAUGAUCAGUCACACUGGAACGGAGACGAGGCACAGACUACUACGGGAGGCAGCAGAGGGGAAUAGUAGACUAUGGGCGGAAGCCUGGUCCAGCCAAGCCGCGUGGGGUGAAAAGAGACUCGGAUAGUAAAUGUCAUCUAGUUGGGAGGAAGGGCAGUCAGAUAAUCCCGUGCUGAGUUGACGGUACCGAAAGAAUAAGCACCGGCUAACCUCGUG